AUUGAACGCUGGCGGCAGGCCUAACACAUGCAAGUCGAGCGGUAGAGAGGUGCUUGCAUCUCUUGAGAGCGGCGGACGGGUGAGUAAUGCCUAGGAAUCUGCCUAGUGGUGGGGGAUAACGUUCGGAAACGGACGCUAAUACCGCAUACGUCCUACGGGAGAAAGCGGGGGAUCUUCGGACCUCGCGCCAUUAGAUGAGCCUAGGUCGGAUUAGCUAGUUGGUNAGGUAAUGGCUCACCAAGGCGACGAUCCGUAACUGGUCUGAGAGGAUGAUCAGUCACACUGGAACUGAGACACGGUCCAGACUCCUACGGGAGGCAGCAGUGGGGAAUAUUGGACAAUGGGCGAAAGCCUGAUCCAGCCAUGCCGCGUGUGUGAAGAAGGUCUUCGGAUUGUAAAGCACUUUAAGUUGGGUAGAAGGGUAGUAACCUAAUACGUUGCUACUUUGACGUUACCGACAGAAUAAGC
RNAcentral lists this ribosomal RNA (468 nucleotides) under uncultured bacterium. RNAcentral's name for it is "bacterial SSU rRNA". It matches the Rfam family "Bacterial small subunit ribosomal RNA", at positions 30 to 491 of the family's 1533-position model. The record is from RNAcentral.